Zalophus californianus (California sea lion) is the source of this 1304-nucleotide RNA transcript. RefSeq lists it as uncharacterized. The record is from RefSeq and is a predicted model, not a curated record. The transcript is spliced from 5 exons. NCBI's taxonomy places the organism in Eukaryota, Metazoa, Chordata, Mammalia, Carnivora, Otariidae.
UAGUUCCGGGCGGUAUGCUUCCGGUUGGUCCGGAAGCGUCGCCAUGGCAGGUACAGGGAGCCGCUCCGCCUGGAGUCCCGCCUCCGCGGCGUCAGGGACUUACCUGGGCGACUAGUGUUCUAGCCCCCGGCGAACCGGACGGUGCUGUCCUGGGCCUGGACCACCCUCCCUGCCGCCGCUGCCGAACUCCGGAAGGCCUGGGUAGGUCGCGACCCCGUGAGCCUCAGUUUGCCCGUCUGUGAAAUGGGGGCUCGCGGUGGCUGCCCUGAGCAACGCGACCUUGACGAAAUCUGAUAGUUCUCCGCGUCCCAUACGCAGAGGGUGAAGCUUUAGGGGAGCCCAAAUCACCGCCGACCCGUGUUGUGCAGUUUCCUGGAGGGAGCGUUCGUCGCGAGGCGCUGAAGACUAGAGCGGGGCACGCGGGGAACGAAGUCUCUGCCUGGCGGCUCCUACUCAAGCCGCUCGUCAAGGGCGUGGACCGGGAUGACGAAAGGGCGCGCCACCCAGCACGGGGGGCUCCCCGGGCCACCCCCGAGCCUACAGCGCCAGCCGGAGCGCCACCCAGCACGGGGGGCUCCCCGGGCCACCCCCGAGCCUACAGCGCCAGCCGGAGCCGGAAUCCCCAAGCCCGUUGGCGGCUCUCGGGGACCCUGCCGGAGCCUCCUUCCCGCCGCAGUUUGAAGAUUAACUCAUCUUCACCAGCGAGGAGCCCAGGAGUCAUUAAGUUCGACAUUCUGUGGGAUCGUGAGUCCUCCACGUGGAAGUCAGCACGCCUCUCCGCGGUCAGUGGCCAUGCAGAAGCUUCCGCUUGCACAGCUCUUCCUUGCUGCCUUUGCCACCAGCUCAGCAUUCAGCCUCGUUUCUCUCGUCCCAGGGACCUAAUGGUAGAGUUGCCUUGGCCAGAACCUCCAUUACAAUGUUGAAUAGAAGUGGUGCGAUCAGACAUCCUCACCUUGUUCUAAUCUUCAGGGCUGCAUCCUGGUUUUGUCAGUUGUGUUUACGUCCUGAACAUCUAUAGAUGGAGACAUUUUUACUUCUCACAAAUGAGGGACACAUCAACCCACGAUGCUCACAUCUCUGGCUUGGAGAGCCAGUCUUGCUCCACCAGAGUCCCCAGAUGAGGCAUUUGCUUUCUGGCACAGCUGCUGAGGCCUAUACAGCUGGCUUUUAAGAAGCAAGUGUGUGGGGCGCCUGCAUGGCUCAGUUGGUUAAGUGACUGCCUUCGGCUCAGGUCAUGAUCCCAGGGUUCUGGGAUCAAGCCCUGCAUCGGCCUCCUGCUCAGCGGGAAGCCUGCUUCUCCCUUU